UACAGAGGGGGCAAGCGUUGUUCGGAAUUACUGGGCGUAAAGGGCGCGUAGGCGGCCUUCUAAGUCGAACGUGAAAUCCCUGGGCUCAACCCAGGAACUGCGUCCGAUACUGGAAGGCUUGAAUCCGGGAGAGGGAUGCGGAAUUCCAGGUGUAGCGGUGAAAUGCGUAGAUAUCAGAAGGAACAUCAGUGGCGAAAGCGGCUUCCUGGACCAGAACUGACGAUCAGGCACGAAAGCGUGGGGAGCAAACAGG
Molecule: ribosomal RNA, 253 nt
Filed under: uncultured bacterium
Lineage: Bacteria
Description: partial 16S ribosomal RNA
Rfam family: Bacterial small subunit ribosomal RNA
Source: RNAcentral